UACAGAGGUCCCAAGCGUUGUUCGGAUUCAUUGGGCGUAAAGGGUGCGUAGGUGGCGCCGUAAGUCAGGUGUGAAAUCUCGGGGCUUAACUCCGAAACUGCAUUUGAUACUGCGAUGCUUGAGGACUGGAGAGGAGACUGGAAUUACGGUGUAGCAGUGAAAUGCGUAGAGAUCGUAAGGAAGACCAGUGGCGAAGGCGGGUCUCUGGACAGUUCCUGACACUGAGGCACGAAGGCCAGGGGAGCAAACGGG
Molecule: ribosomal RNA, 252 nt
Filed under: uncultured bacterium
Lineage: Bacteria
Description: partial 16S ribosomal RNA
Rfam family: Bacterial small subunit ribosomal RNA
Source: RNAcentral